GGCACCAGUGGUCUAGUGGUAGAAUAGUAUCCUACCACGGUACAGACCUGGGUUCGAUUCCAGGUAAAUUUCUUGCCA
RNAcentral lists this transfer RNA (78 nucleotides) under Salvia splendens (bonfire salvia). RNAcentral describes it as "tRNA-Gly". The record is from RNAcentral. Lineage: Eukaryota; Viridiplantae; Streptophyta; Magnoliopsida; Lamiales; Lamiaceae.